This is a long non-coding RNA of Panicum virgatum (switchgrass), 2144 nucleotides long. RefSeq lists it as uncharacterized. The record is from RefSeq and is a predicted model, not a curated record. Lineage: Eukaryota; Viridiplantae; Streptophyta; Magnoliopsida; Poales; Poaceae. The transcript is spliced from 2 exons.
UCUUCGCCUUCGCUGAUCUAGUUUUUUUUUUUCCGUUUCCCCCUUCCUUUAUCUCAGUGAUCAGGAAUCAGCCGCGCGCUUGCCCCGCCCCGCGGUUCGUCGUAUAGUUGCCUGAAAUCUCUCAUGCACGCUGUCUCUUUUCUGCUUCGUGAAUCGUGAUCGAGGCGGAAAAGGCUUUUUACGGUAUUCUAGUUUGCGGGUUGAAGGGGAAAUGCAGGAAUCUGUCAGUUCAGUUGCCGUGUAUCUGAAAACUUCGAUGCCGAUAUGUCUUGGUCUUUGCUUCUCUGUCCAUGACAUGUGAAGCAAAUUACUUGAUCUGUUUAUUUUUUUUGAACUCGAUUACUUGAUCUGUUUAGCUAUAAUAGAACAGUGGGUUCCAGAAUUCCGUUGGGGGUGUGUGUGUAGGGCCCAUUACAAUCAGGAACAAAUUCGAUUCAGUAAUCCCUACAAUAUUUUUUUCGCGACCGUGCCUGAGCACAUUUUUCAUUAAGAGGAAGCGAGUUUAAAGUUACACAAAAGUUGGUUUCGAAGAUUAGGAAACCAACCCAAGAUAACAAGAUUACAAGACUCUACCCGUUUAAGAUUGCGCGACCUGUUAAUCUGCCUAGUGCAACCACCACAAAGUCCAGAUGCUUGAGGCCAGCAUGAAACCACAGCACAAUCUCAUCAGCCGUCCGGCAAAGCAAGUCAUCAAUCGUAUUCACCUGACGAUCAAAAGUUCGUGCGUUGCGUUCCUUCCAAAGCAACCAGCAGAUGCAAAUUACAACGGAGUCGAAGCAUUUCCGGGCCUCUUUCCUAAUGUUCUUCCUCACCCCCGUCCACCAAUCAGCAAAGACAAAAGUGUGGUUCGUGGGAGCAGCAGUCUCCCACCCGAGUCUGCGCAUGAUUUUGAACCAGAUUUCCCUUGAAAAAGGGCAGCUGAUCAAUAGGUGGUCAAUCGUUUCUGGUAAUUGAUUGCAAAGCACGCACGAAUCAUCAUCUUGCAGGCUAUGCCUCUUCCGACGAUGAGCAGUCCAACAUCGGUCAUGCAAAAUGAGUCAAAUGAAAAAUUUGCACUUGGGCGGCGCACGAGAUUUGUGGAGGAGUUUGGCUCCCACCACAGAUUGCUGUCCAAUGAAGAAAGUCUUGUACGCCGAUGAGGUAGAAAAGAUCCUGUCCGAAGUCCACUUCCAGCAUAUGGCAUCCGCGCGACCUUGGGACAAUUGGGUUUCUCUAAUGACGUCCCAGACAUGUAGAUACUCUAAAAUUACUUGCACAGUGAGAGCACCUGUUAUAUCUUGAAUCCAGAGAUCCCCUUGCAGCGCCUAUGCGACAGUCCGCUGUUUUUUAAUUGUACUCCCUACUGCAUUGCACAAACAAGGGGCAAUGUCCAGUAGAGAUUUUCCUUGCACCCAGCGUUCCGUCCAAAACAAAGCUUUAUUUCCACCCCCCAGUUCAAUGAAGAUUGAGGUAGAAAACAAUUGUUCGACUGGACCCUCUGUCACAUCAGGUAGGUGAAGCCACGACCGAGUGUCAUCCGUUCGCCUCAGCCAUAACCAUCUCAUGCGUAGCACGUAGCCGAAUAGCUGCAGAUCAAUAAUGCCCAAACCACCCAAGUCCGGCAGCCUACACACUCUUGGCCACGCGAGCAGGCAAUGGCCGCCUUUAGCAGUGUCAGCUCCCCUCCAAAGGAAAUUCCUUCUGCAUUUAUCAAUACAUUUAAUCACCCAUGGGGAAAUAUUAAUGGCCAAGGCAGAGUAGGGAUCGCCGAAAGGGUGCUUUUGAUCAAAACUGUCCGCCCAGCACGGUUCAAAAGAUUAGCCUUCCAGGAUGGCAAACGAUUUGCCACUUUGUCCACUAAUGGUUGCAGCUCAACUUUACGUAGUUUCUUGAGACCAAGAGGAAUACCCAGGUACACGAUGGGAAAAGGGUCAAGCUUUGCUGGAAAGAAACUUAACAGGGUCACCGUGGCUUCCAGAUCACAUUGGAUUGGGGAGAUGAGGCACUUGUUAAUAUUUGUUCUGAGCCCUCAUGUGCUGGUAAUUGAUGUGAGCGUGUUAUGCAAUUGAUGUGCUGGUAAUUAACAAUAGCUAACUGAGCAUGAAUCAAUCAUAGAAAGGAUGUUAAUCGAAGAAACACAUAGUGAAAUUCGCGAAAUGGCACUA